GUUACUAUACUUUAUGAAAGAAGAUUUGGUUUGCAACUAAACAGAGGGGUUUCCCCUAGUACCA
Molecule: transfer RNA, 64 nt
Filed under: Aeolidia papillosa
Lineage: Eukaryota; Metazoa; Mollusca; Gastropoda; Nudibranchia; Aeolidiidae
Description: tRNA-Ala
Source: RNAcentral